This 404-nucleotide ribosomal RNA is filed under the name Actinomycetes bacterium. RNAcentral describes it as "Actinobacteria bacterium partial 16S ribosomal RNA". It matches the Rfam family "Bacterial small subunit ribosomal RNA", at positions 355 to 776 of the family's 1533-position model. The record is from RNAcentral. Lineage: Bacteria; Bacillati; Actinomycetota; Actinomycetes.
UGGGGAAUAUUGGACAAUGGGCGCAAGCCUGAUCCAGCCAUGCCGCGUGAGUGAUGAAGGCCCUAGGGUUGUAAAGCUCUUUCACCGGUGAAGAUAAUGACGGUAACCGGAGAAGAAGCCCCGGCUAACUUCGUGCCAGCAGCCGCGGUAAUACGAAGGGGGCUAGCGUUGUUCGGAUUUACUGGGCGUAAAGCGCACGUAGGCGGACUUUUAAGUCAGGGGUGAAAUCCCGGGGCUCAACCCCGGAACUGCCUUUGAUACUGGAAGUCUUGAGUAUGGUAGAGGUGAGUGGAAUUCCGAGUGUAGAGGUGAAAUUCGUAGAUAUUCGGAGGAACACCAGUGGCGAAGGCGGCUCACUGAACCAUUACUGACGCUGAGGUGCGAAAGCGUGAGGAGCAAACAGG